UAAGCCUAUGAAAAAUCACUUUCUUACCUAAAUUUGCACUUUAGGACAUGUCUAGGCCU
This 59-nucleotide transfer RNA is filed under the name Laudakia stellio (hardun). RNAcentral describes it as "Stellagama stellio (hardun) tRNA-Cys". The record is from RNAcentral. Lineage: Eukaryota; Metazoa; Chordata; Lepidosauria; Squamata; Agamidae.